AAGCUCGUAGUUGAAUUUCGGGAUCAAUGCGUCGGUCGUGCCUUCGGUACGUACUAGCGUCAUUGAUUCCUCCCUUCUGAAGAACCGUGAUGUCAUUAAUUUGGUGUUACGGGGAAUCAGGACUGUUACCUUGAAAAAAUUAGAGUGUUUAAAGCAGGCUAACGCUUGAAUACAUUAGCAUGGAAUAAUGAAAUAGAACGUUUGAUUCUAUUUUGUUUGGUUUCUAGGAUCGACGUAAUGAUUAAUAGGGAUAGUUGGG
This 259-nucleotide ribosomal RNA is filed under the name uncultured Glomus. RNAcentral's name for it is "partial 18S ribosomal RNA". It matches the Rfam family "Eukaryotic small subunit ribosomal RNA", at positions 624 to 886 of the family's 1831-position model. The record is from RNAcentral. Lineage: Eukaryota; Fungi; Glomeromycota; Glomeromycetes; Glomerales; Glomeraceae.